GACGGAGGGGGCAAGCGUUGUCCGGAAUUACUGGGCGUAAAGGGCGCGUAGGUGGCUUCGUGCGUCGGUGCUGAAAGCGCCGGGCUUAACCCGGCGAGGCGUGCCGAUACGACGAGGCUUGAGGCAGGGAGAGGGUAGCGGAAUUCCGGGUGUAGUGGUGAAAUGCGUAGAGAUCCGGAGGAACGCCAGAGACGAAGGUGGCUACCUGGCCCUGGCCUGACACUGAGGCGCGAAAGCGUGGGGAGCGAACCGG
Molecule: ribosomal RNA, 253 nt
Filed under: uncultured bacterium
Lineage: Bacteria
Description: partial 16S ribosomal RNA
Rfam family: Bacterial small subunit ribosomal RNA
Source: RNAcentral